UGUGAUUCGAGUGAGACGAGAACAAUGUCGCGUUUCGGCACUUCGGCGGCCCGCAUGUCGCCGAAUUUGUGCAGACAAUGGAUUUCGCUUGAACUUUCGAGGACACCCCAUCACAUCCAGGCUCCAAUCCAGGCCAUCCAAGGACAUCACUGCGCCUCAAAGGUUCUCUUCAACGCGCAGUUUCAAGGCUUCAUCAACACGCUGAGAAAUCAAUCAUCUGCUCCAAUCAAGGGGAUUACAUCGCCAUCUGAAGCGCUUCAAAAAGACGGAAAUGAAGAUGAUUUGGUCCAGCGGCUGCUGCAUCGCGGACCCGGUUUCUCUCCGCGAGACUGGUCCAGCGAGGAGGCUGUUGCUUUUCUCGGAUCCGUCUCUCGCCUCUGGAGCUCAGAUCGAACGAAUCUUCUCACGCUGAAUCAGAACUCGUUCGUCUACUGGAGAGUGGACACCGAAUGCAAGAAUGAUCUGCCUUCAAAUCGUUUAUUAAGGAUGUGAAGAAGACAACCCAGCUAGCGUUUUCGCUCAAGGGACGGCGCUGGAGGUUUUCGGCACGGCGCCAAAAGCAGACGGGACAGAAAAUUAAGCGAAAGGAAGGGAAAGCGCCCAACUGCGCUGUUAUUCCAUCUCUGGCUGCACACAGAGGAGCAGUUUUUCCAUUUGCGCCGCGCCGUUGGAUUCUUCCGGCCAAUUAAGUUGAUACCGACGAAGAAUAUUUCAAUUUGCAGCACGCCCGACGAGAGCUAUACGCAAAAUUUACAAAAACAUACAGAACGGAGAACGUGCAGCGCCGCUCUAAUGAGAAUAAUUCAAGAAGGGGCCAUUUUGGCCGCCGAGGAAAGAGCUAGCAAGGGUAGGUGUGCAGUAUAAUGAACGAGCUUAAUGGCUGCAGCAAAAAACUCUUGGCCCGGAAUUAUUCCCCGGUCGCUAAUAACCCUCGGCCUGAAACUUUUGCGCCCGUCCCUGAGGUAAAAAGAAGUUUUAUGACGCCUGGUAAUGCUCUCAAGCUCAUUAACGCCGCGGCACCCAACUUUUAAUUACACCUCCUCGCCAUCUUUAAAUUAUUGCAGGCGAAAGAGGAGCGUUUAUAUUUGCCGCGCGCACCAACUUUGGCGCCCAAGGCUAGGCGACCCUAAUGAAAGUGGAUUUUAAUUCAAUAAGAGCUUAAUUUCCCGGCGGCAGGUCAUUAGCAGCGCAGGUCCCUCCUUCGCCCUCCUGUCAAACACCUGGUGCACCGCAAACAACCAGAAAUAAAAUAUUAUGUUUAUACACGCUCGAAGCAGACCCGGCCGUGAGUAGAUCGGCCACCGAACCGAACGUAAACGACGACGUGCCCUCUCAGAACGUAAACUGCUGACACGACCACCUGCGAUCUAAAAGGCUAAUGCUCGCUCAAAGGCGGCUUUUUUAUUACGCUGCUCUAAAUAUAUUAGUUGUAGUAGUUUUAGCAUCAAUUAUUAUUUUAUUUUAAUUUUAUGCAAAAAAAUAAAAAUUAAAACUUAAACUUAAAACAAUAUUAAAAAUGGAAAUGAAGCGAUCGGGCUUUUCCUCGUUGCAGAAAAUUGUUUUUAUUAAAAAACAA
This is an RNA transcript of Neocloeon triangulifer, 1576 nucleotides long. RefSeq lists it as uncharacterized. The transcript is spliced from 7 exons. The record is from RefSeq and is a predicted model, not a curated record. NCBI's taxonomy places the organism in Eukaryota, Metazoa, Arthropoda, Insecta, Ephemeroptera, Baetidae.